GGGGGCGACUUGGCUUCGACGUGGAUCACAAAGUCUGGGGAGCAUGUAGUGGGUGUGAUGACCACUUAAACACUAGUCACAAACAAUAGUCGCAAACGACGACUCUUACGCUCUCGCUGCUUAAUAACCAGUCGAUAGCUGUCUGACCGGUGCUGUGCUUGUGCGGCCGGAAUUUCAGGCAUCAUCCUGACACAAGAUCGUGCGGGAGGCUCGCCCAAGGCCAAACCACCAAAUAGUAUUGGGACAGCCCGUGAGCAGCCUGUCAGUCGGCGGCAAGCGGGUUAAACAAAAGACUCGACUAAACAUGUAGUAGCCUUCAGAUGGAGGGUUUGCGGACGCGGGUUCAAUUCCCGCCGCCUCCACCA
This 365-nucleotide transfer-messenger RNA is filed under the name Thiothrix sp. It matches the Rfam family "transfer-messenger RNA". From Rfam's summary of the family: Bacterial tmRNA, also known as 10Sa RNA or SsrA, is named for its dual tRNA and mRNA-like properties. Its role is to liberate the mRNA from a stalled ribosome. RNAcentral also lists the same sequence under 1 other name. The record is from RNAcentral. Lineage: Bacteria; Pseudomonadati; Pseudomonadota; Gammaproteobacteria; Thiotrichales; Thiotrichaceae.